Molecule: long non-coding RNA, 2435 nt
Organism: Choloepus didactylus (southern two-toed sloth)
Lineage: Eukaryota; Metazoa; Chordata; Mammalia; Pilosa; Megalonychidae
Exons: 3
Source: RefSeq, a predicted model, not a curated record
GGCCACGCCCCCGGCCGGAGUCUGGGCCCGCCGAGGCCGAUCUGGGGCGCGCCGCGCCCUUUCCGUUUAGCCGGGGAUGCAGGGCCCCGCCGGGAAAGGUGGUGGAAGCCCUCACCCUACUCCCAGCAGCAUAGGUUAAGGGUGAGCCGACCGGGCCGGCUUCUCCAGCGGCUGGGAAGCGGGGAUCUCAGGUGUGAGUGAGGAGGAACCGGGCCGACCCCAAGCCUCCUGUCCCUCCACGCAGAGAACCCAGGACCCUCCUCUGCACCUCCCCGCCAGCCUCCUACCUCAGGGACGCCCCGCCAGCCACGCACAGUGGAUAGCCGUCGCCUUCGAGGCCCUUCACACACGGACCGCUAACCCCAGUCUUUCUUGCUCUUGUCAAAUAUUUUCUAAACUGCCAAGUUCCACUCAGAGGAUGCUCUCCUCACAUCUGUCCCAGAAUGAUGGCUUCUUGGAUCUCUAGGAAGAAGUGGACAGAGACCCAGAGAGUGACCCCCGAGGGGAAUCUGCAGGCACUCCCCAAAGGGCGCUUGGGAUCACGUCCCUCUGCACACCUCGGGAAAGAGGGAGAUCUGUCUCCUGGAGAGUGUGGUCUCAGUUCCCUGAGGCCGAGCGAAGUCCUUACCUCUGCAGCAGACCCCUAGCAGUCCCGGUCCUGAUGUCCUGGCCAGUGCAGCCCACAGAACCGACCAGGGAGGGAAUCCCAAAAUGCCUCUGAAAUCAAAGCCAGCAGUCCCCACUGUGCAAGUGAAUACUCCGUGCACAGCUGGCCUACCAAGUGACAACAGCUUCCGGAGUCAUUGUAGCAAGUCUCCUUCCCACCUCCGCUGCUCUCCUCUCAGAAACAAGCUCUCUGAGAGCAGCACGCCUGUUUCAACGUGAGCCCCCUCAGCCCCUUACGCAAAGCUGAGCAGAGAAAUCCCGUUUCUGGCCGAGUGACUGGAGCCAGAAAAACAAGUGAAGAAACUUUCUUUCUGACCUCUUCAAGAAAUAACCACUGAAUUCAGCCAUCCUGCCAGCUCCCUUACCAGAUCUGAGACUCCCAGCCACCACUGGGUCUUGCCUGGGUUCCCGCCCUCAGCAGGCCCCCCACAUCCCAGCUGAGCCCAAGAUCCCGAAGGGCAAGACUAUUGUUCGCUUCACUCUUUUAGACAAGCCUGCCCUUCAGCAUCACGCAUCUGGGGUACAAUAGCCAUUCAGGGGCAUGGAAAUAGGGGAGUCCCUUACAAGACUAACAGCAGUCCUCGAACCAAAUCUUGGCUUCCAGUGCUGUAGCUGAAGGUCUCUUGGCAAAUUACUGGAUUUCUCUCUCAGCCUCAGUUUCCUUAUCCAUAAAACUGGGAUAAUAGACGCCCCGCUCCGACUGCUGUGGAGAGUAGAGGUGACAGAGAGACAGUGCAUAGCCCUUCACCUGCGCCAAGCAGCUGUUCAACAACUGGCCGCUGUCCCCACCCUCAGCAGGCUGUCCAGCUCAAGGCCUGCGUCCCCAGGAGCCGGGAGCCGGCCAGGGCUGCGUGGGCCUGCCUGCACUUGCUGCUUCGUGCUUCGUGGGACGUUAACAACAGGCGGAGAGCAGACCUGGGAUGCUGGGCUCCCAGAACCCCCUGGGCCAGGAGGAGUCUCAGGACCACCACUGAGCUCAAGGGGGGCUGGACAUCCCCACAGAAGCUCUGCUGCGCGUGGUCCAGCCGUCCCCACUCCUCCCGGGAGAGGUACAGAGCCACGUCCUCGAAGGUUACUGGCAUCUGAAGCAACACAAAAUGACCGUAUCUGCUCGCAGGACCAGGACUGGGGGGGACGAGGCGGCACCGAGAUGUGUGGCGAGAGCCCAGGGCCCAGCCCACCGCUCCGCCUGAGGCUGCCGGGCGGAUCCGGACCGUGAGGGAGGCCGGAUCCCAGGAGGGUCUCAGUUAGUGACUUAUUUGUUUAGAACGAAGCGGUGAUGGAGCGCUGGAGACCAGAGACCAGAGCUGAGGCUCGGGACCUCAACACACGCAGACCCCCGGGGACGUCACAACCAGAGACGCUGUCUCUCCCCUUCCCUGUGCCUCUGCCCUGCGUGGGCCCGAAGCAGCGGGGGCUGCCCCAGGUGGGGGAUCGGCGGGUAGGAAGGGCUGAGCGCCUCGGGGGGCAGGGAAGGCCCCUGGCGAGAGGAGGGGCGGGCAGAGCCACUCACCUGGGACCAGGCAGUGAGGAGCGCCGCGGCCAUCUGCCGGUCUUGGGCUCUGCCCUCCCUGGGGAGCGCGGGGACCUGGGGGCCGAGGAGGGCUGAGAGAGGAGAGAGGUCCUCAGGGUGGCCGGCUCGGCCUGCUGGGGGCCCCGCGCUCCCCCCAGGGGCUCAGGCCUGGCCUUCCAGGGACAUUCCUGGCCCUCCCUCCAGCCCCGAGAUACCGCGUGGGGGGCCUCUGCAGGGCAGGAUGGCAGACUCCCAC